Caenorhabditis elegans is the source of this 21-nucleotide non-coding RNA. Lineage: Eukaryota; Metazoa; Nematoda; Chromadorea; Rhabditida; Rhabditidae. The record is from Ensembl.
UUAUUCACUCUAAAGGAAACU